UACGGAGGAGGCAAGCGUUAUCCGGAAUUAUUGGGCGUAAAGCGUCCGUAGGUGGCUAGUCAAGUCUGCGGUCAAAGACUGGGGCUUAACCCUGGAAAGGCCGUGGAAACUGACGAGCUAGAGUGCAGUAGGGGUAGAGGGAAUUCCCGGUGUAGCGGUGAAAUGCGUAGAGCUCGGGAAGAACAUCGGUGGCGAAAGCGCUCUACUGGACUGCAACUGACACUCAGGGAUGAAAGCUAGGGGAGCGAAUGGG
RNAcentral lists this ribosomal RNA (253 nucleotides) under uncultured bacterium. Its description in RNAcentral is "partial 16S ribosomal RNA". It matches the Rfam family "Bacterial small subunit ribosomal RNA", at positions 524 to 776 of the family's 1533-position model. The record is from RNAcentral.